GACGAACGCUGGCGGCGUGCUUAACACAUGCAAGUCGAACGGAAAGGCCCUGCUUUUGUGGGGUGCUCGAGUGGCGAACGGGUGAGUAACACGUGAGUAACCUGCCCUUGACUUUGGGAUAACUUCAGGAAACUGGGGCUAAUACCGGAUAGGAGCUCCUGCUGCAUGGUGGGGGUUGGAAAGUUUCGGCGGUUGGGGAUGGACUCGCGGCUUAUCAGCUUGUUGGUGGGGUAGUGGCUUACCAAGGCUUUGACGGGUAGCCGGCCUGAGAGGGUGACCGGUCACAUUGGACUGAGAUACGGCCCAGACUCCUACGGGAGGCAGCAGUGGGGAAUAUUGCACAAUGGGCGGAAGCCUGAUGCAGCAACGCCGCGUGCGGGAUGACGGCCUUCGGGUUGUAAACCGCUUUCGCCUGUGACGAAGCGUGAGUGACGGUAAUGGGUAAAGAAGCACCGGCUAACUACGUG
RNAcentral lists this ribosomal RNA (467 nucleotides) under uncultured bacterium. Its description in RNAcentral is "partial 16S ribosomal RNA". It matches the Rfam family "Bacterial small subunit ribosomal RNA", at positions 28 to 507 of the family's 1533-position model. The record is from RNAcentral.